UACGUAGGGUGCGAGCGUUGUCCGGAAUUACUGGGCGUAAAGAGCUCGUAGGUGGUUUGUCGCGUUGGUCGUGAAAACCGGGGGCUUAACCCUCGGCGUGCGGGCGAUACGGGCAGACUUGAGUACUGCAGGGGAGACUGGAAUUCCUGGUGUAGCGGUGGAAUGCGCAGAUAUCAGGAGGAACACCGGUGGCGAAGGCGGGUCUCUGGGCCGAUACUGACGCUGAGGAGCGAAAGCGUGGGGAGCGAACAGG
This 253-nucleotide ribosomal RNA is filed under the name uncultured bacterium. RNAcentral's name for it is "partial 16S ribosomal RNA". It matches the Rfam family "Bacterial small subunit ribosomal RNA", at positions 524 to 776 of the family's 1533-position model. The record is from RNAcentral.